UCCAGGUCCCGGAGGGCGUCAGCCCGCUAACCGCGUCAGGACCGAGAGGUAGCAGCGCCGUGUGGUGUCUUGCGUUGCUCCGUCAGGCCUGGAGUA
Molecule: signal recognition particle RNA, 96 nt
Filed under: Gemmatimonadaceae bacterium
Lineage: Bacteria; Pseudomonadati; Gemmatimonadota; Gemmatimonadia; Gemmatimonadales; Gemmatimonadaceae
Description: signal recognition particle sRNA small type
Rfam family: Bacterial small signal recognition particle RNA
About the family: The signal recognition particle (SRP) is a universally conserved ribonucleoprotein involved in the co-translational targeting of proteins to membranes.
Source: RNAcentral